AAAACCCGCAAGGCCGACGGCACCCCGCCGCCGCUGGUGCAAGUCCAGCCACCCCACCAGGGCGGGCGCUCAUGGGUAAACC
Molecule: ribozyme, 82 nt
Filed under: unclassified sequences
Description: Twister_sister_ribozyme
Rfam family: Twister_sister_ribozyme
Source: Rfam by way of RNAcentral